GCAGCAAUAGUUCAGUCGGUAGAACGUUGGCUUCCCAAGCCGAAGGUCGCGAGUUCGAGUCUCGUUUGCUGCU
Molecule: transfer RNA, 73 nt
Filed under: Bacteroidales bacterium
Lineage: Bacteria; Pseudomonadati; Bacteroidota; Bacteroidia; Bacteroidales
Description: tRNA-Gly
Rfam family: tRNA
About the family: Transfer RNA (tRNA) molecules are approximately 80 nucleotides in length.
Source: RNAcentral